GAACGCGAAAGUUCCCUUCGGGGAGCGAGUAGAGUGGCGAAAGGGUGAGUAAUGCUUGGAUGACCUGCCCUCGAGACGGGGACUACAGUUCGAAAGGACUGCUAAUACCCGAUAGUCCGGUUUAGAUGCGUCUAGAUUGGUAAAUGGUGCUUCCGCUCGAGGAGGGGUUCAAGUCCUAUCAGCUUGUUGGUGAGGUAACGGCUCACCAAGGCGAUGACGGGUAGCCGGACUGAGAGGUUGGCCGGCCACAUGGGAACUGAGACACUGUCCUGACUCCUACGGGAGGCUGCAGUCGAGAAUCUUCUGCAAUGGGCGAAAGCCUGACAGAGCGACGCCGCGUGGAGGAUGAAGGCCCUCGGGUCGUAAACUCCUGUCACAUGUUAUGAAACGCACAGGUCUACCUGUGCGCUGACAAAAGCAUGAGAGGAAGUCACGGCUAACUUCGUG
This 447-nucleotide ribosomal RNA is filed under the name uncultured bacterium. RNAcentral describes it as "bacterial SSU rRNA". It matches the Rfam family "Bacterial small subunit ribosomal RNA", at positions 64 to 507 of the family's 1533-position model. The record is from RNAcentral.